Molecule: ribosomal RNA, 264 nt
Filed under: uncultured Atopobium sp.
Lineage: Bacteria; Bacillati; Actinomycetota; Coriobacteriia; Coriobacteriales; Atopobiaceae
Description: partial 16S ribosomal RNA
Rfam family: Bacterial small subunit ribosomal RNA
Source: RNAcentral
AAAGUGGCGAACGGCUGAGUAACACGUGGGCAACCUGCCCUUUGCACUGGGAUAGCCUCGGGAAACCGAGGUUAAUACCGGAUACUCCAUAUUUGUCGCAUGGCGAAUAUGGGAAAGCUCCGGCGGCAAAGGAUGGGCCCGCGGCCUGUUAGCUAGUUGGUGGGGGUAGUGGCCUACCAAGGCAAUGAUGGGUAGCCGGGUUGAGAGACCGACCGGCCAGAUUGGGACUGAGACACGGCCCAGACUCCUACGGGAGGCAGCAGC